CCGUCUAAAUCGUGUACACAUAUGUGUAACCACGUUGCAGAAACACGAGGGAAGUGCGCACCAGGUUGUUCAUGUACCAGCCGACCGCACUCGGGUAUAUACAUAAAAUAUGAUAUGCAUAUGAAAGAUAUGUUCAUAUCCUAUUUGAAAGUUUUUGCAUGUGAAUUUUUUUUACUAGGCCAGCACGUAAGUGAAUUGUCUCAAAGGAAUCUUAAGUCUCACAUUGAGUGAGAGCUCUCUUGUUCCAUAUAAUCAAGAAAAGUAAGGGCACUUCAGUGUUCUUUGUUCCAUGCAAUUGGCCCAUGGAGAGGGGUUUGGCUUGGUCCAUGAGGGAUGGGAAGAAUGAGUUAUUUGGGUUGCAUCUUCCUUGUGGGCUCUUGUCUUUUGGCAUGUCUUUGAUUCUAUAUUUUGACUUCCUCUUUUAUGCUUGUUAUUCUUCAUACACUGGAGUUUUUUGGCCUGCAUGAUGCGGAGAGAACACCGUCACAAGGAGCCAAUUUUACUCCUCACAACAAUCUUUAAGUACUAGUUAUUGGGAUGGAUAUUGAACAUUUCCUAUCUUCUACAACUAAUGCCAAGGCUAGGUAGUACAAUCUUCCAAUCUUCUAAAACUAAUGUCAAGGAUAGGGGGCCAAUCUUUUCAAUCUUCAACAAUUAAUGGCACAAAAGGCUUGGUAUUGAACUCAAAUUUAUUGUCGUGACACCUCAGUUUGAAGAUAUAGAUGAAGACUCUCAUAAGUGUGCACCUUCCAAUAUAAAUAUAUGCCAAGAUUAGUUCACACCCCAUCCAAGUGUUAUCAAUGGCUUGCAAGACCACCGCUGUUGUGGCAUCCAUGUUGAUAUUGAUGCUCCUUGUGUCUUUCGGUAAGUAGGAUAAUAUAGUAUUUCAUACGUAUGUAGUUUUUGGCAUGCAUGAUGUGGAGAGAGCAUCGUCACAAGGAGACAAUUUUACUCCUCACAACAAUCUCCAACUACUAAUUAUUGGGAUGGAUAUUGAACAUUUCCUAUCUUCUACAAUUAACGCCAAGGCUAAGUAGUAAACUCUUCCAAUCUUCUAAGACUAAUGUCAAGGAUAGGAACCCAAUAUUUUAAAUCUUUAACAAUUAGUGCCACAAAAGGCUUGAUACUGAACUCAACUUUAUUGUCGGGUGACCUUAGUUUGACGAUAUAGAUGAAGACUCUCAUAAGUGUGCACCUUCCAAUAUAAAGACAUGCCAAGAUUAGGUCACACCCCAUCCAAGUGUUCUCAAUGGCUUGCAAGACCCCCAUCGUUGUGGCAUCCAUGUUGAUAUUGAUGCUCCUUGUGUCUUUUGGUAAGUAGGAGAAUAUACCAUUUCAUACAUAUGUAGGGAGUUUAUGUUUUUCCAUCACGUAUUAAACCUUUAUUUCUAUAAGGAUGUAGGGAUUUUGCAUCGUAACAAAAUUUCUUUCAUUUAUGUAGACGAGGUUCAAGGGAAGUGUCGCGAGGAACGCAUCAAGCUCUCCUGUGAUAAUUGGGUCAAAUGUUUUGAGUGGUGUCGUCUCUUUGGUGGUACGAAAGGGUACUGUGAUAAAGGUUCAUGUGUGUGUGUGAAUUGCUUUGUGCAAUCAUCUGGCCACCAUUCUACAGAGGUUCCACCACCGAAUUCUGCCCAUCUUGAGUAGUUCAUUGUAAUUGUCGAAUUAUUGGUAAUUGGUUGUCCUAUAAAUAACUAAGUGCAUUGGUUAUGAUAUUCUUUUUAUGUAAUUUUCUAAUAUGACAUAGUAAGUUUUCCAAUGGAAAGGUACAAUAAUAUGUUUUCAGGGUCAUCGGAAAGUCCGGAUCUAUUUAUGGAAACUUUUCAGGGUCAUCGGAAUGGGUUCCAGAGACAUACGGAAAAUUCAAGAUUUUAUUUGUAGAAGAAAAGUGCGAAGAACCAUCAUGAGAUGACGAUCCCUAGUGGGCCCACGAGGGCCCACAAGGGGCGCAAUGGGCUUUGGUAGGCCCUAGGCCGAAUUGGAAGGGGAUGAAAUCCUUCCCUCUUCCAAGGAUUUCCCCUCUUUACCCUCCUCCUUCUCCUACUUAUAUAUAUGGGGGGAGGCCUCCCUCUUGAGACAAAUAAAAUUAAAGGGUGCUACUUCUUGAGCUUGCGUUGUUUUUUCCCAUGAAGAGGAAAGGGUGAUGCAACAAAGUAGAGAUAAG
Molecule: long non-coding RNA, 2161 nt
Filed under: Triticum aestivum (bread wheat)
Lineage: Eukaryota; Viridiplantae; Streptophyta; Magnoliopsida; Poales; Poaceae
Description: long non-coding RNA (TAES_LNC009001)
Source: RNAcentral